AUUGAACGCUGGCGGUAGGCCUAACACAUGCAAGUCGAGCGGAUGAAGGGAGCUUGCUCCUGGAUUCAGCGGCGGACGGGUGAGUAAUGCCUAGGAAUCUGCCUGGUAGUGGGGGAUAACGUCCGGAAACGGGCGCUAAUACCGCAUACGUCCUGAGGGAGAAAGUGGGGGAUCUUCGGACCUCACGCUAUCAGAUGAGCCUAGGUCGGAUUAGCUAGUUGGUGGGGUAAAGGCCUACCAAGGCGACGACCCGUAACUGGUCUGAGAGGAUGAUCAGUCACACUGGAACUGAGACACGGUCCAGACUCCUACGGGAGGCAGCAGUGGGGAAUAUUGGACAAUGGGCGAAAGCCUGAUCCAGCCAUGCCGCGUGUGUGAAGAAGGUCUUCGGAUUGUAAAGCACUUUAAGUUGGGAGGAAGGGCAGUAAGUUAAUACCUUGCUGUUUUGACGUUACCAACAGAAUAAGCACCGGCUAACUUCGUG
This 484-nucleotide ribosomal RNA is filed under the name uncultured bacterium. RNAcentral's name for it is "partial 16S ribosomal RNA". It matches the Rfam family "Bacterial small subunit ribosomal RNA", at positions 30 to 507 of the family's 1533-position model. The record is from RNAcentral.